CACGUAGGGCGCAAGCGUUGUCCGGAAUUAUUGGGCGUAAAGAGCUCGUAGGCGGUUUGUUGCGUCGGCUGUGAAAUCCCGAGGCUCAACCUCGGGUCUGCAGUCGAUACGAGCAAACUAGAGUGUUGCAGGGGAGACUGGAAUUCCUGGUGUAGCGGUGAAAUGCGCAGAUAUCAGGAGGAACACCGAUGGCGAAGGCAGCUCACUGGGACGGUACUGACGCUGAGACGCGAAAGCGUGGGGAGCAAACAGG
This 253-nucleotide ribosomal RNA is filed under the name uncultured bacterium. RNAcentral describes it as "partial 16S ribosomal RNA". It matches the Rfam family "Bacterial small subunit ribosomal RNA", at positions 524 to 776 of the family's 1533-position model. The record is from RNAcentral.